This 253-nucleotide ribosomal RNA is filed under the name uncultured bacterium. Its description in RNAcentral is "partial 16S ribosomal RNA". It matches the Rfam family "Bacterial small subunit ribosomal RNA", at positions 524 to 776 of the family's 1533-position model. The record is from RNAcentral.
UACGAAGGGUGCAAACGUUGCUCGGAAUUAUUGGGCGUAAAGCGCACGUAGGCGGCUCGGCAAGUCGGAUGUGAAAUCCCUCGGCUCAACCAAGGAAGUGCAUCCGAAACUGCUGAGCUUGAGUUCUUAAGAGGAUCGCGGAAUUCCCGGUGUAGAGGUGAAAUUCGUAGAUAUCGGGAGGAACACCAAUGGCGAAGGCAGCUCGCUGGGACGGUACUGACGCUGAGACGCGAAAGCGUGGGGAGCGAACAGG